Molecule: long non-coding RNA, 336 nt
Filed under: Dermacentor andersoni
Lineage: Eukaryota; Metazoa; Arthropoda; Arachnida; Ixodida; Ixodidae
Description: uncharacterized LOC126527976
Source: RNAcentral
GACCGGAGCGAGGCGCUUCCGUCGCAGCACUGUCUGUAGUGAUCCACCGCCGCUUCACACAGGACGCUCCGGUGGCACUUGGCGCACUUAACGUCGAAGCUUCGGCAAUGACGCAAGUGGUCUCUCAGUUCGGACAAUUUUCCGGCGAAGUUAGCACACUUCUUACCGCCUACGAUGCACUGGACACGCAGCUUCUCGAGGUCGGACAGCUCGAAGCGAAGCCGCACAAGUUCGCCUUUCGAGAAUGUUCUUCCGUCGAAGGGGCACUCCAUUCUUUCGAACACUUGGCCUUGGCAUUCUUCGCACAAAACGUGACCGCAGGGUAACAGUUCCGAG